Molecule: small nucleolar RNA, 121 nt
Filed under: Triticum aestivum (bread wheat)
Lineage: Eukaryota; Viridiplantae; Streptophyta; Magnoliopsida; Poales; Poaceae
Also listed under: 1 other name
Description: Small nucleolar RNA SNORD14
Rfam family: Small nucleolar RNA SNORD14
About the family: U14 small nucleolar RNA (U14 snoRNA) is required for early cleavages of eukaryotic precursor rRNAs. In yeasts, this molecule possess a stem-loop region (known as the Y-domain) which is essential for function. A similar structure, but with a different consensus sequence, is found in plants, but is absent in vertebrates.
Source: Rfam by way of RNAcentral
UGGUGAUGAUGAUAAAACUUAGGCUUGUUUCUCAAAACAUUUGCAGUUGCCGCCUAAGAGCUUUCGCCCCGCCAGGCUUGAGAGCUAAUGCUGCUAAUUCCUUCCUUGGAUGUCUGAGCCA